RNAcentral lists this ribosomal RNA (459 nucleotides) under uncultured bacterium. RNAcentral's name for it is "partial 16S ribosomal RNA". It matches the Rfam family "Bacterial small subunit ribosomal RNA", at positions 338 to 795 of the family's 1533-position model. The record is from RNAcentral.
CCUACGGGCGGCAGCAGUGAGGAAUAUUGGUCAAUGGGCGCGAGCCUGAACCAGCCAAGUCGCGUGAGGGAAGACGGUCCUAUGGAUUGUAAACCUCUUUUGUCGGGGAGCAAAAGACGCCACGCGUGGCGUUCCGAGAGUACCCGAAGAAAAAGCAUCGGCUAACUCCGUGCCAGCAGCCGCGGUAAUCCGGAGGAGGCGAGCGUUAUCCGGAUUUAUUGGGUUUAAAGGGUGCGCAGGCGGAAGAUCAAGUCAGCGGUAAAAUUGAGGGGCUCAACCUCUUCGAGCCGUUGAAACUGGUUGUCUUGAGUGAGUGAGAGGUAUGCGGAAUGCGUGGUGUAGCGGUGAAAUGCAUAGAUAUCACGCAGAACUCCGAUGGCGAAGGCAGCAUACCGGCGCUCAACUGACGCUCAUGCACGAAAGUGUGGGUAUCGAACAGGAUUAGAUACCCUAGUAGUC